This 398-nucleotide ribosomal RNA is filed under the name Strombidinopsis sinicum. RNAcentral describes it as "partial small subunit ribosomal RNA". It matches the Rfam family "Eukaryotic small subunit ribosomal RNA", at positions 30 to 432 of the family's 1831-position model. The record is from RNAcentral. Lineage: Eukaryota; Ciliophora; Spirotrichea; Choreotrichida; Strombidinopsidae.
GCUUGUCUCAAAGAUUAAGCCAUGCAUGUCUAAGUAUAAACGAUUUUAUACGUGAAACUGCGAAUGGCUCAUUAUAUCAGUUAUAGUUUAUUUGAUGGUCCUUACUAUUUGGAUAACCGUAGUAAUUCUAGAGCUAAUACAUGCUGUUAAGCCUGACUUCUUGAAGGGCUGUAUUUAUUAGAUAACAGACCAAUAUUCCUCGUGUCUAUUGUGGUGACUCAUAGUAACUGAUCGGAUCGCACGGGCUUGCCCGCGACAAACCAUUCAAGUUUCUGCCCCAUCAGCUUUCGAUGGUAGUGUAUUGGACUACCAUGGCUUUUACGGGUAACGGAGGAUUAGGGUUCGAUUCCGGAGAGGGAGCCUGAGAAACGGCUACCACAUCUAAGGAAGGCAGCAGG